GAUGAACGCUGGCGGCGUGCCUAAUACAUGCAAGUCGAGCGAACGGACGAGAAGCUUGCUACUCUGAUGUUAGCGGCGGACGGGUGAGUAACACGUGGAUAACCUACCUAUAAGACUGGGAUAACUUCGGGAAACCGGAGCUAAUACCGGAUAAUAUUUUGAACCGCAUGGUUCAAUAGUGAAAGACGGUCUUGCUGUCACUUAUAGAUGGAUCCGCGCUGCAUUAGCUAGUUGGUAAGGUAACGGCUUACCAAGGCAACGAUGCAUAGCCGACCUGAGAGGGUGAUCGGUCACACUGGAACUGAGACACGGUCCAGACUCCUACGGGAGGCAGCAGUAGGGAAUCUUCCGCAAUGGGCGAAAGCCUGACGGAGCAACGCCGCGUGAGUGAUGAAGGUCUUCGGAUCGUAAAACUCUGUUAUUAGGGAAGAACAUAUGUGUAAGUAACUAUGCACAUCUUGACGGUACCUAAUCAGAAAGCCACGGCUAACUACGUG
This 497-nucleotide ribosomal RNA is filed under the name uncultured bacterium. RNAcentral describes it as "partial 16S ribosomal RNA". It matches the Rfam family "Bacterial small subunit ribosomal RNA", at positions 28 to 507 of the family's 1533-position model. The record is from RNAcentral.